UACACUCCUACGGGAGGCAGCAGUGGGGAAUAUUGGACAAUGGGCGCAAGCCUGAUCCAGCCAUGCCGCGUGAGUGAUGAAGGCCCUAGGGUUGUAAAGCUCUUUCACCGGUGAAGAUAAUGACGGUAACCGGAGAAGAAGCCCCGGCUAACUUCGUGCCAGCAGCCGCGGUAAUACGAAGGGGGCUAGCGUCGUUCGGAUUUACUGGGCGUAAAGCGCACGUAGGCGGACUAUUAAGUCAGGGGUGAAAUCCCGGGGCUCAACCCCGGAACUGCCUUUGAUACUGGUAGUCUUGAGUUCGAGAGAGGUGAGUGGAAUUCCGAGUGUAGAGGUGAAAUUCGUAGAUAUUCGGAGGAACACCAGUGGCGAAGGCGGCUCACUGGCUCGAUACUGACGCUGAGGUGCGAAAGCGUGGGGAGCAAACAGGAUUAGAUACCCUUGUAGUCCCAUG
This 451-nucleotide ribosomal RNA is filed under the name uncultured organism. RNAcentral's name for it is "partial 16S ribosomal RNA". It matches the Rfam family "Bacterial small subunit ribosomal RNA", at positions 332 to 799 of the family's 1533-position model. The record is from RNAcentral.